ACUGCGAAUGGCUCAUUAAAUCAGUUAUCGUUUAUUUGAUAGUACCUUACUACUUGGAUAACCGUGGUAAUUCUAGAGCUAAUACAUGCUGAAAACCCCAACUUCGGGAGGGGUGUAUUUAUUAGAUAAAAAACCAACGCCCUUCGGGGCUUCUUGGUGAUUCAUGAUAACUUCACGGAUCGCAUGGCCUUGCGCCGGCGACGGUUCAUUCAAAUUUCUGCCCUAUCAACUUUCGAUGGUAAGGUAUUGGCUUACCAUGGUUUCAACGGGUAACGGGGAAUUAGGGUUCGAUUCCGGAGAGGGAGCCUGAGAAACGGCUACCACAUCCAAGGAAGGC
RNAcentral lists this ribosomal RNA (337 nucleotides) under dothideomycete sp. LC-G1/2. RNAcentral's name for it is "SSU rRNA". It matches the Rfam family "Eukaryotic small subunit ribosomal RNA", at positions 86 to 426 of the family's 1831-position model. The record is from RNAcentral. Lineage: Eukaryota; Fungi; Ascomycota; Dothideomycetes.